GACGAACGCUGGCGGCGUGCCUAAUACAUGCAAGUAGAACGCUGAAGGGAGAGCUUGCUCUUCUGGAUGAGUUGCGAACGGGUGAGUAACGCGUAGGUAACCUGCCUGGUAGCGGGGGAUAACUAUUGGAAACGAUAGCUAAUACCGCAUAACAUUGACUAUUGCAUGAUAGUCAAUUGAAAGGUGCAAUUGCACCACUACCAGAUGGACCUGCGUUGUAUUAGCUAGUUGGUGGGGUAACGGCUCACCAAGGCGACGAUACAUAGCCGACCUGAGAGGGUGAUCGGCCACACUGGGACUGAGACACGGCCCAG
This 314-nucleotide ribosomal RNA is filed under the name uncultured bacterium. RNAcentral describes it as "bacterial SSU rRNA". It matches the Rfam family "Bacterial small subunit ribosomal RNA", at positions 28 to 334 of the family's 1533-position model. The record is from RNAcentral.